CGGACGAGCCAUUCUCGCGCGACUUGUACCAAAUUCUCAGGAAAGGAAAACUUUCGCGAGACUUGGAACUUGCGGCUCUUUUUGCAAUAGAGAGCCGCGUGGUGGCAAGCGCAGCCCUUUGGGUAAGCGGUGCUCAGCCGCUAAGUCAUGUCCCACUCUUUACGACUCCCAUGGACUGUAACCCACCAGGCUCCUCUGUCCAUGGGACUCCCCAGGCAAAACUACUGGAAUGGGUUGCCAUUUCCUCCUCCAGGGGAUCUUCCAGACCCAGGGAUUGAACCCUCGUCUCUUAUGUCUCCUGCAUUGGCAGACAGGUUCUUUACCACUAACGCCACCUGGGAAGCCCUUGGGAGCACUUCUUCAAUAAACCAUGUACACAAGAAUCCUGUCUCGGCCUCCGUUUCUGAGGAGCUCAGAGGAAAACAUACAUACGCAGAAAUGCACUGUGGAAAUACAGGAAGUGCCUUUUCUUUUCAGAAAUGGCUCUUUGUCCAAGGAGAAACACUUUCCUUCCCAUGUCUGUUAAUGGAAGAUCUUGCCGUCAGCUUGGAAACCGCCAAGCAGGUGGUGAUUUGUGGAGGGCAAGAGUUGGACUGUGAAGAAAGCUGAUCGCCGAAGAAUUGAUGCUUUUGAACUGUGGUGUUGGAGCAGACUCUUGAGAGUCCCUUGGACUGCAAGGAGAUCCAGCCAGUCCAUUCUGAAGGAGAUCAGCCCUGGGAUUUCUUUGGAGGAAAUGAUGCUGAAGCUGAAACUCCAGUACUUUGGCCACCUCAUGCGAAGAGUUGACUCAUUGGAAAAGACUCUGAUCCUGGGAGGGAUAGGGGGCAGGAGGAGAAGGGGAUGACAGAGGAUGAGAUGGCUGGAUGGCAUCACUGACUCUAUGGACGUGAGUCUGGGUGAACUCCGGGAGUUGGUGAUGGACGGGAAGGCCUGGCGUGCUGUGAUUCAUGGGGUCACAAAGAGUCGGACACGACUGAGCGACUGAACUGAACUGAACUGAGUGUCUGAAUAAUAUUCCACGUUUUCUUUAUUCAUUCAUUUCUUGCGUACUUUAGGUUUUAUC
This is a long non-coding RNA of Bos taurus (domestic cattle), 1063 nucleotides long. The record is from Ensembl. NCBI's taxonomy places the organism in Eukaryota, Metazoa, Chordata, Mammalia, Artiodactyla, Bovidae.